This 398-nucleotide ribosomal RNA is filed under the name Oomycota sp. RNAcentral's name for it is "Oomycetes sp. partial small subunit ribosomal RNA". It matches the Rfam family "Eukaryotic small subunit ribosomal RNA", at positions 582 to 975 of the family's 1831-position model. The record is from RNAcentral. Lineage: Eukaryota; Oomycota.
AUUCCAGCUCCAAUAGCGUAUAUUAAAGUUGUUGCAGUUAAAAAGCUCGUAGUUGGAUAUCUGUUUUGAAUAUCCGGUCGAUUUCGUAAGAGAUGCGUACUAUGGAUAUUUGAAUCAUUUUUUGUGAGAUUUUUAUUCUGACAUUAAGUUGUUGGUUUAAAAGGCUUGCAUCGUUUACUGUGAAAAAAUUAGAGUGUUUCAAGCAGGCGUUUGCUUUCGAAUACAUUAGCAUGGAAUAAUAAGAUAUGACUAGCGUGGUCUAUUUUGUUGGUUUGCACACGCAAGUAAUGAUUAAUAGGGACAGUUGGGGGUAUUCAUAUUACUACGUCAGAGGUGAAAUUCUUGGAUCGUAAUAAGAUGAGCUUAGGCGAAAGCAUUUACCAAGGAUGUUUUCAUCA